GGGACACGUGGUAUCCUGUCUGAAUAUGGGGGGACCAUCCUCCAAGGCUAAAUACUCCUGACUGACCGAUAGUGAACCAGUACCGUGAGGGAAAGGCGAAAAGAACCCCGGCGAGGGGAGUGAAAAAGAACCUGAAACCGUGUACGUACAAGCAGUGGGAGCACGCUUAGGCGUGUGACUGCGUACCUUUUGUAUAAUGGGUCAGCGACUUAUAUUCUGUAGCAAGGUUAACCGAAUAGGGGAGCCGAAGGGAAACCGAGUCUUAACUGGGCGUUAAGUUGCAGGGUAUAGACCCGAAACCCGGUGAUCUAGCCAUGGGCAGGUUGAAGGUUGGGUAACACUAACUGGAGGACCGAACCGACUAAUGUUGAAAAAUUAGCGGAUGACUUGUGGCUGGGGGUGAAAGGCCAAUCAAACCGGGAGAUAGCUGGUUCUCCCCGAAAGCUAUUUAGGUAGCGCCUCGUGAAUUCAUCUCCGGGGGUAGAGCACUGUUUCGGCAAGGGGGUCAUCCCGACUUACCAACCCGAUGCAAACUGCGAAUACCGGGGAAUGUUAUCACGGGAGACACACGGCGGGUGCUAACGUCCGUCGUGAAGAGGGAAACAACCCAGACCGCCAGCUAAGGUCCCAAAGUCAUGGUUAAGUGGGAAACGAUGUGGGAAGGCCCAGACAGCCAGGAUGUUGGCUUAGAAGCAGCCAUCAUUUAAAGAAAGCGUAAUAGCUCACUGGUCGAGUCGGCCUGCGCGGAAGAUGUAACGGGGCUAAACCAUGCACCGAAGCUGCGGCAGCGACGCUGAUGCGUUGUUGGGUAGGGGAGCGUUCUGUAAGCCUGCGAAGGUGUGCUGUGAGG
RNAcentral lists this ribosomal RNA (850 nucleotides) under Escherichia coli. RNAcentral's name for it is "partial 23S ribosomal RNA". It matches the Rfam family "Bacterial large subunit ribosomal RNA", at positions 419 to 1268 of the family's 2925-position model. The record is from RNAcentral. Lineage: Bacteria; Pseudomonadati; Pseudomonadota; Gammaproteobacteria; Enterobacterales; Enterobacteriaceae.